AGAAUGCUAACCCCCUGGCAUGUAUCUAGUCAGCAGAGGCGACGGCUGCUGCUAAACACCUUACAAUCCACGGGAGGGCCCCUCCCCUACCCCGAAGUAGCCAUUCCGCAGAGGUGGAGAGACUCUCGUGUAGCUCAAUGCCCACGCACUUAGCCGAUGGGAAAUUACGAAUUGAUGACCAGUUGGCUCUUGGAUCUGAGGAAAAAACUCCAGAGUCAGAGGGAACUCUCGAAGUUUUGCCCGGAGCAAACGGAAGGGUGGCUUUGCCAUCGCCUAAGAUGGGAAAAUGGCAGGUGUCACAGGUUGCAGGGGAAGGUCGGAGACCAGCUGAGGGCCCCGGAGCCUUCCUGGAAAGAGUUUCCCAUCCAGCCCGUCUCGGUUUCCGCAUCCGUCUUCCUUAUGAUGUUGAGGGUGCUGGCGUCUGGGUCCUUUAUGAUGCAGAGGGUGCCCCCGUCUCACCCUGGGCGCCUCCGCGCUCCCGCCUCCUCCUGGCAACCUGGUGCGCGGCUCCGGACCUGGCGACCCACGACCGGCUGGUCACUUGCUGCCACCUCGCAAAGGCGCAUCUCUAGUUCAGUGGUGAGCUGCGGCCGGGUCGCUGCAACUCGCUCCAGGCCUCCGGACUCGUGGCCUCGGUGUCCCUCGCGGAGCCCUCGGUGUGUCGCUUGCAGGCUCUUUUUUUGAAGAAAGCAGGGAGGGAAUGGCCUUGUGAGAGACUCCAGGAGCAAAGAGCGACCCUCACAAGGCCCAAGUCCUCCCAGAGCUCAGGGAAGCUGUCGCUUCUGACAGAAGAAGGGAGACAAAGCUCCCUCCUGUGUGUCCCUGGUG
Molecule: long non-coding RNA, 828 nt
Filed under: Homo sapiens (human)
Lineage: Eukaryota; Metazoa; Chordata; Mammalia; Primates; Hominidae
Description: non-protein coding lnc-PADI1-4:2
Source: RNAcentral